Molecule: ribosomal RNA, 679 nt
Filed under: uncultured bacterium
Lineage: Bacteria
Description: bacterial SSU rRNA
Rfam family: Bacterial small subunit ribosomal RNA
Source: RNAcentral
CAUGCAAGUCGAACGAGAAAGCCCUUCGGGGUGAGUAAAGUGGCGAACGGGUGAGUAACACGUGGGCAACCUGCCCCUCGCAGGGGGACAACCGGAGGAAACUCCGGCUAAUACCCCGUACGCUUGUUGGAUCGCAUGGUCCGGCAAGGAAAGGUAGCUUCGGCCAUCCGGCGAGGGAUGGGCCCGCGUUGCAUUAGCUAGUUGGUGGGGUAACGGCCUGCCAAGGCGACGAUGCGUAGCUGGUCUGAGAGGAUGAUCAGCCACACUGGGACUGAGACACGGCCCAGACUCCUACGGGAGGCAGCAGCCAGGAAUCUUGGGCAAUGGGCGAAAGCCUGACCCAGCAACACCGUGUGGGCGAUGAAGGCCUUAGGGUCGUAAAGCCCUGUUGAUAGGGACGAAGGGCGAAGGGUUAAUAGCCCCUAGCUUGACGGUACCUUUCGAGGAAGCCCCGGCUAACUACGUGCCAGCAGCCGCGGUAAUACGAAGGGGGCUAGCGUUGUUCGGAAUUACUGGGCGUAAAGCGCGCGUAGGCGGACAUUUAAGUCAGGGGUGAAAUCCCAGGGCUCAACCCUGGAACUGCCUUUGAUACUGAAUGUCUGGAGUUCGGGAGAGGUGAGUGGAAUUCCGAGUGUAGAGGUGAAAUUCGUAGAUAUUCGGAGGAACACCAGAAGCGAAG